This 86-nucleotide transfer RNA is filed under the name Candidatus Woesearchaeota archaeon. RNAcentral describes it as "tRNA-Leu". It matches the Rfam family "tRNA". Rfam says of the family: Transfer RNA (tRNA) molecules are approximately 80 nucleotides in length. Their secondary structure includes four short double-helical elements and three loops (D, anti-codon, and T loops). Further hydrogen bonds mediate the characteristic L-shaped molecular structure. tRNAs have two regions of fundamental functional importance: the anti-codon, which is responsible for specific mRNA codon recognition, and the 3' end, to which the tRNAs corresponding amino acid is attached (by aminoacyl-tRNA synthetases). tRNAs cope with the degeneracy of the genetic code in two manners: having more than one tRNA (with a specific anti-codon) for a particular amino acid; and 'wobble' base-pairing, i.e. permitting non-standard base-pairing at the 3rd anti-codon position. The record is from RNAcentral. Lineage: Archaea; Nanobdellati; Candidatus Woesearchaeota.
GCGAGAGUCCCAUAGUCUGGUCAAUUGGGCAGGACUUAAGAUCCUGUGGCUUAGUGCCUACGAAGGUUCGAAUCCUUCCUCUCGCA